Molecule: ribosomal RNA, 465 nt
Filed under: Vreelandella stevensii
Lineage: Bacteria; Pseudomonadati; Pseudomonadota; Gammaproteobacteria; Oceanospirillales; Halomonadaceae
Description: partial 16S ribosomal RNA
Rfam family: Bacterial small subunit ribosomal RNA
Source: RNAcentral
CCUACGGGAGGCUGCAGUGGGGAAUAUUGGACAAUGGGGGGAACCCUGAUCCAGCCAUGCCGCGUGUGUGAAGAAGGCCCUCGGGUUGUAAAGCACUUUCAGUGAGGAAGAACGCCUGGUGGUUAAUACCCAUCAGGAAAGACAUCACUCACAGAAGAAGCACCGGCUAACUCCAUGCCAGCAGCCGCGGUAAUACGGAGGGUGCGAGCGUUAAUCGGAAUUACUGGGCGUAAAGCGCGCGUAGGUGGCUUGAUAAGCCGGUUGUGAAAGCCCCGGGCUCAACCUGGGAACGGCAUCCGGAACUGUCAAGCUAGAGUGCAGGAGAGGAAGGUAGAAUUCCCGGUGUAGCGGUGAAAUGCGUAGAGAUCGGGAGGAAUACCAGUGGCGAAGGCGGCCUUCUGGACUGACACUGACACUGAGGUGCGAAAGCGUGGGUAGCAAACAGGAUUAGAUACCCCGGUAGUC